Molecule: long non-coding RNA, 206 nt
Organism: Sphaeramia orbicularis (orbiculate cardinalfish)
Lineage: Eukaryota; Metazoa; Chordata; Actinopteri; Kurtiformes; Apogonidae
Exons: 3
Source: RefSeq, a predicted model, not a curated record
AUUGCAUAACCAUUGUUUCUGAUGACUUUUGGUGGUCUAAUAAUUUUUUCCGCGACUGUAGAAAUGUAGCGCAAAAAUAUAAUGGAAACACAUUCUGCACAUUUUCACCCACCUGGUUCCGGUGGUUUUGCUCAAGCCAAACAUCUCACCUAUGACCCUGUACUUAGAACAGGUGGUUCUAGUUUAUACAGGGCAGUGUUUCUCAA